This 86-nucleotide signal recognition particle RNA is filed under the name Myxococcales bacterium. Its description in RNAcentral is "signal recognition particle sRNA small type". It matches the Rfam family "Bacterial small signal recognition particle RNA". Rfam says of the family: The signal recognition particle (SRP) is a universally conserved ribonucleoprotein involved in the co-translational targeting of proteins to membranes. Archaeal SRP consists of a 7S RNA and homologues of the eukaryotic SRP19 and SRP54 proteins. Lineage: Bacteria; Pseudomonadati; Myxococcota; Myxococcia; Myxococcales. The record is from RNAcentral.
AUUGCUGUGCGACUUAUUACUUUCAAACCCCGCCAGGCCCGGAAGGGAGCAACGGUAGAAAGCAAAUAGGGGUGCACGGCAUUUUU